Long non-coding RNA from Brassica napus (rape), 2212 nucleotides. RefSeq lists it as uncharacterized. The record is from RefSeq and is a predicted model, not a curated record. Lineage: Eukaryota; Viridiplantae; Streptophyta; Magnoliopsida; Brassicales; Brassicaceae. The transcript has 2 exons.
GUCUUUUUUUUUUGAACAAACAACAUACUUAGACUACUGGCCAGCUCAGUACAAGGGAGAAGAAGAGCCAUUACAGAGUGCCGGCUUUACAAGAGAAUCAUCAAUGGAGUUUUGAGCUCUCGGAAUAAAAGAAAACAAAAUAAGCUCGAAACUAGAAAAUAUGAACUCGACAUCUAUUAGAAGGCCAAAGAGUUCCAUUGGAUAUAUUUUCGAGUUGAUUGCUCUAAUUAGCACUUAGGAGUUGGAUCGCAUCUCAGUUGGUAAAUCAAUGGGUUAAAAUGGUGUUCCUAGUGUUAUACUCACGCUUUCCUGUUACAUAUUUUUUAGAAUAAAUUUAAACUUCGAUGGUUAAACAAUAAUAUAAUUAAAAGUUAUUUGAUUGCACGUCUUAGUUGGUGAAUCAAUGAGUUAAAUUGGUGUUCCUAGUGUAGUAGAUCAAAAUACACAUUUAACGGUCAGACCGGGCCGGUUUUUGCAACACAUGAAAAUAUAUAUAUCUGGAUUGUCAAUUUGAAGUAAAUAUACCGAACCAGACCAGUUAUGAAAACUCUAAAUUAAAUCCAUUUGACCUCUAUAUGCAGCCAGACGAGACCAAGCACUAGAUCUUUAAAUUUAUGGGUUUAAUCUGAAAUGCCCCUUAGACUUCUAAAAAAGUUAUCAAAUGCCCUUCUAUCAAUUUUUUUUUUGUUUUUAACCAAAAAAAAAAAUUGACCAUUAUUCUUAGAGUAGCACAAUGGUUUGAUCAAGAUCUAACAUACUAUUUUUCAUCUUCCGCUCUAUAAUAUUUUUGUUCUUUCCUUUAUCUAAUAAAUUCAAAACACAUUCAUUUUAUGCACUAUAAUGGUUUUGUUUAAUAAAAUUUUGAUACAAGUUCAAAUUAAAUAAUAAUAUAUAUAUCUAUAAAUAAUAAUAAAUAAUAAUUUUUCAUAUAAAAAGAAAAUUAUUUAUAAUUAGAUAAUUGAUUUUAAAUAACUAUGAUGUCAUAAAAUGUCAAAAAACAUAUUUAUAAGCUAAAAUUUGGCAUUAGUGGUGCCUACUUCAUUCUUAUUCAACAUGUGAAAUGUUUUUAACAUCAAAUAAUACAUAACAUUAAGUCGUUAUUCAACAUACCAAUUUAAUUAUAAUGAUUCAACUGUAGACUUUUUUAUUCAAUAUAUACAUUGUAAAUUGUCUUAGAUCUUCCAUCUUUUCUUGAUACUUUUAACAGUAAAAUAUCUUAAUGUUAGAUUCACAAAAAAAAUACAGUUAAAAAAUAAAGUUGAUGCUAAUAUAUAUAGACAAAUAAAACAUUGGUUUAUAAAGGUGGAUGUAGAAAUCUUUUAUUAGAGGCAAAUCUAUGUAAAUAUAAGCAUAAUACUAAAAAGUGAUUUUUAAUAGAGAACAAAGUUUUAUUAGGGGCAAAUUAUAUAUAUCCAGAGGGUAGGGCGUGUUUGGGCAGAAGACUGCGGUCCGCGCAGACUUGACCUAUUGUGAUCCGCUUGAAGCCAACCCCGCUGCGAUCCAGGAUGGGAUGAGACGGGAUAACCUGUCUGCCAUCUCUAGGUGGAACAAUGAAACUAGUUUGGGUUUUUUGGUGAAAGAUUGAAAAUUCUUGGUAUAUUAUGCAAUUUAUGGAGUAGUGAUUAAUGAUCUGGGCUUCUUUAAGAGAUUUCGGCCCAUUAAAUAGAUAUAAAGCAGUGUAACUAGGGCCCAUAUGAUUCAUCUUCAUAACGCUUACUGUAGCUUCAUCUUCCCUCUCUCUCUCCCCUGAAGUGGCUACUAUGAGUCUCUCCCUCAGUGUUACCUUGUGGAUAAGGCGGCGCUGAUUGCGGUCCGAUUCAGCAAGGUGGGUCUUGUAACGACCCGACGGGUAUCCAGAAGAUGGCGUCUUAUGUUUUCAAUAACUACUACUUGAAGAACGGACAAGCUGACGAGGCUUGUAGUAUCUACAACAACGCAGCUCUCACUUCCAUCAAUCCCAUAAGAGAGUGAGCAAUGGGCGAGUCGUGGACGACACUUCAGUGUGUGCAGGAGGACAAGCAGAUAUGAGCAGUAGCAGACGGGUAUCCAGCAGCUAGAUCUUGACGAUGCACGGAUAAAUUCAUCUGUAGGCCAUAAGCACAAGCUCGUUGACGAUGAUAAAAGUCCUAGUGUAGGUUUUAACAUGUUUUUGAUAUCUUCAAUUGUAAUUGCAUUGUUAAUAUUGCUAUUAAGACGAUCAUGUUUUACCGUA